RNAcentral lists this ribosomal RNA (553 nucleotides) under uncultured archaeon. RNAcentral's name for it is "bacterial SSU rRNA". It matches the Rfam family "Archaeal small subunit ribosomal RNA", at positions 326 to 879 of the family's 1478-position model. The record is from RNAcentral.
CGGGGUGCAGCAGGCGCGAAAACUUUACACUGCGGGAAACCGCGAUAAGGGGACCCCGAGUGCCAGCACCUAGUGCUGGCUGUCCAGCUGUCUAAAUAACAGCUGUUAGCAAGGGCCGGGCAAGACCGGUGCCAGCCGCCGCGGUAACACCGGCGGCCCGAGUGGUAACCGUUAUUAUUGGGUUUAAAGGGUCCGUAGCCGGCUUAUUAAGUCUCUUGGGAAAUCUGGCGGCUCAAUCGUCAGGCGUCCAAGAGAUACUGGUAGGCUUGGGACCGGGAGAGGUGGGAGGUACUCCAGGGGUAGGGGUGAAAUCUCGUAAUCCUUGGGGGACCACCGAUGGCGAAGGCAUCCCACCAGAACGGGUCCGACGGUGAGGGACGAAAGCUGGGGGCACGAACCGGAUUAGAUACCCGGGUAGUCCCAGCUGUAAACGAUGCUCGCUAGGUGUCAGGUGCGGUGCGACCGCAUCUGGUGCCGCAGUGAAAACUUGAAGCGAGUCACCUGGGAAGUACGGUCGCAAGGCUGAAACUUAAAGGAAUUGGCGGGGGAGCAC